AGUGAACGCUGGCGGUAGGCCUAACACAUGCAAGUCGAACGGCAGCACAGUAAGAGCUUGCUCUUACGGGUGGCGAGUGGCGGACGGGUGAGGAAUACAUCGGAAUCUACUUUUUUGUGGGGGAUAACGUAGGGAAACUUACGCUAAUACCGCAUACGACCUACGGGUGAAAGCAGGGGAUCUUCGGACCUUGCGCGAUUGAAUGAGCCGAUGUUGGAUUAGCUAGUUGGCGGGGUAAAGGCCCACCAAGGCGACGAUCCGUAGCUGGUCUGAGAGGAUGAUCAGCCACACUGGAACUGAGACACGGUCCAGACUCCUACGGGAGGCAGCAGUGGGGAAUAUUGGACAAUGGGCGCAAGCCUGAUCCAGCCAUACCGCGUGGGUGAAGAAGGCCUUCGGGUUGUAAAGCCCUUUUGUUGGGAAAGAAAAGCAGCAGGUUAAUACCCCGCUGUUCUGACGGUACCCAAAGAAUAAGCAACGGCUAACUUCGUG
This 492-nucleotide ribosomal RNA is filed under the name uncultured bacterium. RNAcentral's name for it is "partial 16S ribosomal RNA". It matches the Rfam family "Bacterial small subunit ribosomal RNA", at positions 29 to 507 of the family's 1533-position model. The record is from RNAcentral.